AAGCAAUUAUACCGCGAAACUGCGAAUGGCUCAUUAUAUAAGUUAUCGUUUAUUUGAUAGUACCUUACUACUUGGAUAACCGUGGUAAUUCUAGAGCUAAUACAUGCUAAAAAUCCCGACUUCGGAAGGGAUGUAUUUAUUAGAUUAAAAACCAAUGCCCUUCGGGGCUCACUGGUGAUUCAUGAUAACUCCUCGAAUCGCAUGGCCUUGUGCCGGCGAUGGUUCAUUCAAAUUUCUUCCCUAUCAACUUUCGAUGUUUGGGUAUUGGCCAAACAUGGUUGCAACGGGUAACGGAGGGUUAGGGCUCGACCCCGGAGAAGGAGCCUGAGAAACGGCUACUACAUCCAAGGAAGGCAGCAGGCGCGCAAAUUACCCAAUCCCGACACGGGGAGGUAGUGACAAUAAAUACUGAUACAGGGCUCUUUUGGGUCUUGUAAUUGGAAUGAGUACAAUUUAAAUCCCUUAACGAGGAACAAUUGGAGGGCAAGUCUGGUGCCAGCAGCCGCGGUAAUUCCAGCUCCAAUAGCGUAUAUUAAAGUUGUUGUGGUUAAAAAGCUCGUAGUUGAACCUUGGGCCUGGCUGGCCGGUCCGCCUCACCGCGUGUACUGGUCCGGCCGGGCCUUUCCCUCUGUGGAACCCCAUGCCCUUCACUGGGUGUGGCGGGGAAACAGGACUUUUACUGUGAAAAAAUUAGAGUGCUCCAGGCAGGCCUAUGCUCGAAUACAUUAGCAUGGAAUAAUAGAAUAGGACGUGUGGUUCUAUUUUGUUGGUUUCUAGGACCGCCGUAAUGAUUAAUAGGGACAGUCGGGGGCAUCAGUAUUCAAUUGUCAGAGGUGAAAUUCUUGGAUUUAUUGAAGACUAACUACUGCGAAAGCAUUUGCCAAGGAUGUUUUCAUUAAUCAGGAACGAAAGUUAGGGGAUCGAAGACGAUCAGAUACCGUCGUAGUCUUAACCAUAAACUAUGCCGACUAGGGAUCGGACGGUGUUAUUUUUUGACCCGUUCGGCACCUUACGAGAAAUCAAAGUGCUUGGGCUCCAGGGGGAGUAUGGUCGCAAGGCUGAAACUUAAGAAAUUGACGGAAGGGCACC
RNAcentral lists this ribosomal RNA (1089 nucleotides) under Fusarium oxysporum. RNAcentral describes it as "SSU rRNA". It matches the Rfam family "Eukaryotic small subunit ribosomal RNA", at positions 67 to 1168 of the family's 1831-position model. Lineage: Eukaryota; Fungi; Ascomycota; Sordariomycetes; Hypocreales; Nectriaceae. The record is from RNAcentral. RNAcentral also lists the same sequence under 1 other name.